GGGCGGUUAGCUCAACGGUAGAGCACUACGUUUACAUCGUAGGGGUUAUAGGUUCGAAUCCUAUACCGCCCA
This 72-nucleotide transfer RNA is filed under the name bacterium. RNAcentral's name for it is "tRNA-Val". It matches the Rfam family "tRNA". From Rfam's summary of the family: Transfer RNA (tRNA) molecules are approximately 80 nucleotides in length. Their secondary structure includes four short double-helical elements and three loops (D, anti-codon, and T loops). Further hydrogen bonds mediate the characteristic L-shaped molecular structure. tRNAs have two regions of fundamental functional importance: the anti-codon, which is responsible for specific mRNA codon recognition, and the 3' end, to which the tRNAs corresponding amino acid is attached (by aminoacyl-tRNA synthetases). tRNAs cope with the degeneracy of the genetic code in two manners: having more than one tRNA (with a specific anti-codon) for a particular amino acid; and 'wobble' base-pairing, i.e. permitting non-standard base-pairing at the 3rd anti-codon position. The record is from RNAcentral.